This is a small nuclear RNA of Cornus florida, 100 nucleotides long. The record is from RefSeq and is a predicted model, not a curated record. NCBI's taxonomy places the organism in Eukaryota, Viridiplantae, Streptophyta, Magnoliopsida, Cornales, Cornaceae.
GUCCCUUCGACAUCCGAUAAAAUUGGAACGAUAUAGAGAAGAUUAGCAUGGCCCCUGCGCAAGGAUGACACGCACAAAUCAAGAAAUGGGCUAGGGGAGC